This 574-nucleotide ribosomal RNA is filed under the name uncultured fungus. Its description in RNAcentral is "bacterial SSU rRNA". It matches the Rfam family "Eukaryotic small subunit ribosomal RNA", at positions 256 to 829 of the family's 1831-position model. Lineage: Eukaryota; Fungi. The record is from RNAcentral.
AAUAACUUACGAAUCGCAUGGCCUUGUGCCGGCGGAUGGUUCAUUCAAAUUCUGCCCUAUCAACUUUCGAUGGUAGAGUAGUGGUCUACCAUGGUUUCAACGGGUAACGGGGAAUUAGGGUUCUAUUCCGGAGAGGGAGCCUGAGAAACGGCUACACAUCCAAGGAAGGCAGCAGGCGCGCAAAUUACCCAAUCCCGACACGGGGAGGUAGUGACAAUAAAUACUGAUACAGGGCUCUUUUGGGUCUUGUAAUUGGAAUGAGUACAAUUUAAGUCUCUUAACGAGAACCAAUUGGAGGGCAAGUCUGGUGCCAGCAGCCGCGGUAAUUCCAGCUCCAAUAGCGUAUAUUAAAGUUGUUGCAGUUAAAAAGCUCGUAGUUGAACUUUGGGUUUGGCUGGAUGGUCUUCCUUACGGAAUGCACUUGAAGGUCGAAUCUUUCCUUCUGGAGGAACUACCGUGUUAUUCAUUUGGAUGCGAUGGGGAACCAGGAACUUUUACUUUGAAAAAAAUUAGAGUGUUUAAAAGCAGGCUUAAGGCUUGGAAUACAUUAGGCAUGGAAUAUUAAAUAGGGAAC